This 2925-nucleotide ribosomal RNA is filed under the name Escherichia coli. RNAcentral's name for it is "bacterial LSU rRNA". It matches the Rfam family "Bacterial large subunit ribosomal RNA". Lineage: Bacteria; Pseudomonadati; Pseudomonadota; Gammaproteobacteria; Enterobacterales; Enterobacteriaceae. The record is from RNAcentral.
GGGUUGUGAGGUUAAGCGACUAAGCGUACACGGUGGAUGCCCUGGCAGUCAGAGGCGAUGAAGGACGUGCUAAUCUGCGAUAAGCGUCGGUGAGGUGAUAUGAACCGUUAUAACCGGCGAUUUCCGAAUGGGGAAACCCAGUGUGUUUCGACACACUAUCAUUAACUGAAUCCAUAGGUUAAUGAGGCGAACCGGGGGAACUGAAACAUCUAAGUACCCCGAGGAAAAGAAAUCAACCGAGAUUCCCCCAGUAGCGGCGAGCGAACGGGGAGGAGCCCAGAGCCUGAAUCAGUGUGUGUGUUAGUGGAAGCGUCUGGAAAGGCGCGCGAUACAGGGUGACAGCCCCGUACACAAAAAUGCACAUAUUGUGAGCUCGAUGAGUAGGGCGGGACACGUGGUAUCCUGUCUGAAUAUGGGGGGACCAUCCUCCAAGGCUAAAUACUCCUGACUGACCGAUAGUGAACCAGUACCGUGAGGGAAAGGCGAAAAGAACCCCGGCGAGGGGAGUGAAAAAGAACCUGAAACCGUGUACGUACAAGCAGUGGGAGCCUCUUUAUGGGGUGACUGCGUACCUUUUGUAUAAUGGGUCAGCGACUUAUAUUCUGUAGCAAGGUUAACCGAAUAGGGGAGCCGAAGGGAAACCGAGUCUUAACUGGGCGUUAAGUUGCAGGGUAUAGACCCGAAACCCGGUGAUCUAGCCAUGGGCAGGUUGAAGGUUGGGUAACACUAACUGGAGGACCGAACCGACUAAUGUUGAAAAAUUAGCGGAUGACUUGUGGCUGGGGGUGAAAGGCCAAUCAAACCGGGAGAUAGCUGGUUCUCCCCGAAAGCUAUUUAGGUAGCGCCUCGUGAAUUCAUCUCCGGGGGUAGAGCACUGUUUCGGCAAGGGGGUCAUCCCGACUUACCAACCCGAUGCAAACUGCGAAUACCGGAGAAUGUUAUCACGGGAGACACACGGCGGGUGCUAACGUCCGUCGUGAAGAGGGAAACAACCCAGACCGCCAGCUAAGGUCCCAAAGUCAUGGUUAAGUGGGAAACGAUGUGGGAAGGCCCAGACAGCCAGGAUGUUGGCUUAGAAGCAGCCAUCAUUUAAAGAAAGCGUAAUAGCUCACUGGUCGAGUCGGCCUGCGCGGAAGAUGUAACGGGGCUAAACCAUGCACCGAAGCUGCGGCAGCGACACUAUGUGUUGUUGGGUAGGGGAGCGUUCUGUAAGCCUGUGAAGGUGGCCUGUGAGGGUUGCUGGAGGUAUCAGAAGUGCGAAUGCUGACAUAAGUAACGAUAAAGCGGGUGAAAAGCCCGCUCGCCGGAAGACCAAGGGUUCCUGUCCAACGUUAAUCGGGGCAGGGUGAGUCGACCCCUAAGGCGAGGCCGAAAGGCGUAGUCGAUGGGAAACAGGUUAAUAUUCCUGUACUUGGUGUUACUGCGAAGGGGGGACGGAGAAGGCUAUGUUGGCCGGGCGACGGUUGUCCCGGUUUAAGCGUGUAGGCUGGUUUUCCAGGCAAAUCCGGAAAACCAAGGCUGAGGCGUGAUGACGAGGCACUACGGUGCUGAAGCGACAAAUGCCCUGCUUCCAGGAAAAGCCUCUAAGCAUCAGGUAACAUCAAAUCGUACCCCAAACCGACACAGGUGGUCAGGUAGAGAAUACCAAGGCGCUUGAGAGAACUCGGGUGAAGGAACUAGGCAAAAUGGUGCCGUAACUUCGGGAGAAGGCACGCUGAUAUGUAGGUGAAGCGACUUGCUCGUGGAGCUGAAAUCAGUCGAAGAUACCAGCUGGCUGCAACUGUUUAUUAAAAACACAGCACUGUGCAAACACGAAAGUGGACGUAUACGGUGUGACGCCUGCCCGGUGCCGGAAGGUUAAUUGAUGGGGUUAGCGGUAACGCGAAGCUCUUGAUCGAAGCCCCGGUAAACGGCGGCCGUAACUAUAACGGUCCUAAGGUAGCGAAAUUCCUUGUCGGGUAAGUUCCGACCUGCACGAAUGGCGUAAUGAUGGCCAGGCUGUCUCCACCCGAGACUCAGUGAAAUUGAACUCGCUGUGAAGAUGCAGUGUACCCGCGGCAAGACGGAAAGACCCCGUGAACCUUUACUAUAGCUUGACACUGAACAUUGAGCCUUGAUGUGUAGGAUAGGUGGGAGGCUUUGAAGUGUGGACGCCAGUCUGCAUGGAGCCGACCUUGAAAUACCACCCUUUAAUGUUUGAUGUUCUAACGUUGGCCCGUAAUCCGGGUUGCGGACAGUGUCUGGUGGGUAGUUUGACUGGGGCGGUCUCCUCCUAAAGAGUAACGGAGGAGCACGAAGGUUGGCUAAUCCUGGUCGGACAUCAGGAGGUUAGUGCAAUGGCAUAAGCCAGCUUGACUGCGAGCGUGACGGCGCGAGCAGGUGCGAAAGCAGGUCAUAGUGAUCCGGUGGUUCUGAAUGGAAGGGCCAUCGCUCAACGGAUAAAAGGUACUCCGGGGAUAACAGGCUGAUACCGCCCAAGAGUUCAUAUCGACGGCGGUGUUUGGCACCUCGAUGUCGGCUCAUCACAUCCUGGGGCUGAAGUAGGUCCCAAGGGUAUGGCUGUUCGCCAUUUAAAGUGGUACGCGAGCUGGGUUUAGAACGUCGUGAGACAGUUCGGUCCCUAUCUGCCGUGGGCGCUGGAGAACUGAGGGGGGCUGCUCCUAGUACGAGAGGACCGGAGUGGACGCAUCACUGGUGUUCGGGUUGUCAUGCCAAUGGCACUGCCCGGUAGCUAAAUGCGGAAGAGAUAAGUGCUGAAAGCAUCUAAGCACGAAACUUGCCCCGAGAUGAGUUCUCCCUGACUCCUUGAGAGUCCUGAAGGAACGUUGAAGACGACGACGUUGAUAGGCCGGGUGUGUAAGCGCAGCGAUGCGUUGAGCUAAGCGGUACUAAUGAACCGUGAGGCUUAACCUUACAACGCCGAAG